Long non-coding RNA from Syngnathus acus (greater pipefish), 1847 nucleotides. RefSeq lists it as uncharacterized. The transcript has 5 exons. Lineage: Eukaryota; Metazoa; Chordata; Actinopteri; Syngnathiformes; Syngnathidae. The record is from RefSeq and is a predicted model, not a curated record.
AGAAGAAGCAGUGAGGUCUUUUUUUGUUCCCAUCCCAAAGUUUGGUGUUGCAGCGUUUUAAGUUAUGCUGAGCCUCACAAAGCUGCUCGACAGUCUUCAGCGCUCCACGGUCGAGACGCGAGCGGGCGGGGAUGACACGUCGUGGUGCCCGCCACCGUGCCUAACCCCUUGACCUUGGACGGCCCGUUUCCAUGGAGACGGACGUUGGCAGGGCCAACAGGGAGCGAGAACGGAGUUGAACCUCAGCGUCGUGCUGGAUGGAUGUUGUCAUGACUCAGCUGCGGCCCAACCUCGGCUGUCAGAUGAAAGGUCAUGCGUGCAAACAACUUGAGGCGACGACAAAAUUGCUGGAAUGGAAACACAUCUGCGACGGACGACGCCACGUUAUCGACCACCGCCUGCCGUGAUGCUUAGCAGGGGAACGCAGGAGUUCAACCUCGCCCGGAGAAUCUCUCGGACAUACCCGCGGUGAGAGAGCCACGAUGCGGCCGCCGCCUCCCCGGUUCUUCUUCUUCUUCCCCUGUCACUGCGGAGCUCAAUCUCGUCCCAGUCCUCCACGACGUGGCUUGUACGUGUAGACUUCAGAGCAAGACGGUGAUCUUGGAGGUGAUGAUGGCGAGAUGGUGGUGUCUCGUCGCGUCUUCCCUUGUUGUCCAGCUGAGACUGACGCCUGUGCUCGCUGGUGCUUCGCCUCAGUGCUUUGGCCUGAUUGGGCGGGGUUGUGAUUAGGGGCGGGGCUGAUAUAAUUCGGGGAGCCAAUCAGGUGGAAGCGGCAGGGAGGGACGUUGGCAUGCAAAAAACAAAACGUGCGGUAGUCAAAUAAACGCACAACCCAUUCACCGUUAUUUGCCUACAAUCUCCGUACAUUGAACAAGUCAGUAUGUUCAUGUGGAUGUGUUCCUUGGAACUGAUGAGAUCAUGUAAUAUGGGAAGAACCUGUUGGAAAAAUCCCCAUAUAAUGCGUGUUUAUCUAUGAAAAUAGGGCUCAGUAGACUUUUUGUAGACAGUUUAUGCGUGCAUUAUAGUUAAAGGCAGUUAAACCUCGAAAGCCAGAAUUUCUAAUUCGUAUUUCUGUUCAUAAUUUGGGCCAUUUACUGUAUUUUGUUGUUGUUGACUAUUUGGGACGCAGUUGUAGUGUGACGUAAACGGUCAUUUAAUAGGCACCUAAUUGAAAUUAUUUUAAUUCGCUCGCCAAGGGAGUGAAUCUAGAUCCAUUUUUGUAAUGUUAAAAAUAUAUGCAUCGGCUCCAAAAAAGUCACUUAGGUUUCAACGUUAGACAAAGAAAAGCAGAAAUAUGGGACAACAGUGACACCCAGUGGACAAUGUGAUUCACUUCAUAGCAUCAAAUAUAAAAAGUCAGUAAAAUCAAUAUGCACCGAGAAAACAUUUAUAGGUUUCUCUACAUGUACUUGUCGGAAAUGACGGGAGAACGACAAAAUAUCAGUUAAGACUGAUAGGGGGGAAAAAAAAGAGAGCGUCCUAUUUAAAUAUAACAUCCUCUUUUACGAGGUUACUUGAAGUAACACUGCGUGAACUGGCGUGCCUACGGUAAACGAGAAAGCUCUAUUCAAGUAGAACCAAGCGCGUUCUUGCCAAGUUUCCUUCAGUUGCUUGUCACUGACGCAGCAGAUAUUGAGUUUUAAACUUUAUUAUUUAUCACAAUUUUGCCCACAUUUACAAAUGCAAUGGGCUGUUAUUAGGUGUGGCCAGUUAUGGUGAUUUCACAUUUGUCCAGGAGGCACGUCACAAACAAAAGAGUCAAUCAGGAGGUGGGGGUGAGGGGGGUUGCUUUUUCAGGUUCAGUUAAGUUAUGACUAUGAUUUCUCCCUAAUGAAACACACACACAC